Molecule: ribosomal RNA, 423 nt
Filed under: uncultured bacterium
Lineage: Bacteria
Description: partial 16S ribosomal RNA
Rfam family: Bacterial small subunit ribosomal RNA
Source: RNAcentral
AAUAUUGGACACUGGGGGCAACCUUAAUCACGCCAUGCCGCGUGUGUGAAAAAGCCUUUCGGUUUGUAAACCCCUUCAAGUUGGAAGGAAGGGCUUUAGGCUACUAACCUGAAGUCUUGACAUUACCAUCAGAAAACGCACCGGCUAACUCGGUGCCAGCAGCCGCGGUAAUACAGAGGGUGCAAGCGUUAAUCGGAAUUACUGGGCGUAAAGCGCACGUAGGUGGAUAAGUAAGUUGGGUGUGAAAUCCCCGGGCUUAACCUGAGAACUGCUUUCAAAACUGCAAGUCUAGAGUUCGGUAGAGGGUAGUGGAAUUGCCAGUGUAGCGGUGAAAUGCGUAGAUAUAGGAAGGAACACCAGUGGCGAAGGCGACUACCUGGACUGAUACUGACACUGAGGUGCGAAAGCGUGGGGAGCAAACAG